UAACAGUUUUAUAUUUUAAACUCUUCUGCUAACAAAAUUAUACGUAAAAAUUUCAGUUUAUCUUCUUUUUUUAAUAAUAUUAAAAUUAUAAAAUGGAUUACACGUGGGCGGUUACAUUGCUGUUGGGUUGUGUACUAGGCUUUGUAGUUGGUCUCCAUUCGUAAACCGCAAAAAGAAGUGCAUGAAGAGAAAUCCUUUGAAUAACAGCUUUUGGCAAAUAACUUUCCAGACCUAUCAAAUUUACGGAAAAUGGUUUAAGAGGAUUUUCUUGGGAUUUCCCACAAUUGAAUGUGAAUCGUAAUGCUUGAACCUUAACUUAAAUAAAAGACAUUAUUUUAACCACU
Long non-coding RNA from Drosophila navojoa, 344 nucleotides. RefSeq lists it as uncharacterized. The record is from RefSeq and is a predicted model, not a curated record. NCBI's taxonomy places the organism in Eukaryota, Metazoa, Arthropoda, Insecta, Diptera, Drosophilidae.